AACGCGAAGAACCUUACCAAGGUUUGACAUGGACCGAAAACUCAUGGAGACAUGGGGUCCUUCGGGCGGUUCACAGGUGGUGCAUGGCUGUCGUCAGCUCGUGUCGUGAGAUGUUGGGUUAAGUCCCGCAACGAGCGCAACCCUCGUCCAAUGUUGCCAGCGGGUUAUGCCGGGGACUCAUUGGAGACUGCCGGGGUCAACUCGGAGGAAGGUGGGGAUGACGUCAAGUCAUCAUGCCCCUUAUGUCUUGGGCUGCAAACAUGCUACAAUGGCCGGUACAAAGGGCUGCGAACCCGCGAGGGUAAGCGAAUCCCGGAAAGCCGGCCUCAGUUCGGAUUGGAGUCUGCAACUCGACUCCAUGAAGCUGGAAUCGCUAGUAAUCGUGGAUCAGCAUGCCACGGUGAAUACGUUCCCGGGCCUUGUACACACCGAGACGAC
Molecule: ribosomal RNA, 438 nt
Filed under: uncultured bacterium
Lineage: Bacteria
Description: bacterial SSU rRNA
Rfam family: Bacterial small subunit ribosomal RNA
Source: RNAcentral